AUGUCAGCGCAUGGCCGGGCGUACCAUAGUGCCGCCGAGAAGCUGCGGCGGUUUGAGGUGUACCGUCGCAACGUGGACCUCAUCGAUGCCUCCAACAGGGAGGCCGAGAGGCUCGGCUAUGAGCUCGGUGAGAACGAGUUCACCGACCUCACUAAUGAGGAGUUCAUGGCGCGGUAUGUCGGUGGCGCUUAUGGUGGAGUCGGUGAUGGUGGUGGUCUCAUCACUACUUUAGCCGGAGAUGUUGCAGAGCAGGCAGUAUCAUCCAAGAACGCCGUCGAGGAGGAUCGUAAUUUAACGAUGACCGCCGCUGACCCUCCCCGGCAUUUCGACUGGAGGGAACAUGGUGUUGUCACGCCUGCCAAGCAACAAGGGGCAUGUGGAUGCUGCUGGGCAUUUGCUGCAGCGGCGACGGUGGAGAGCUUGAACAAGAUAAAGGGCGGGGAGCUGGUUGACCUGUCCGUGCAGGAGCUGGUUGACUGCAGCACGGGUGUGUUCAGCUCGCCAUGCGGCUACGGGUGGCCCAAGAGCGCACUCGAAUGGAUCAAAUCAAAAGGCGGCCUCCUCACGGAGGCCGAGUACCCCUACUUGGCCAAGCGAGGCAGAUGCGCGGUGCACGACGCAGCCCGCCGCGUCGGCAAAAUCACCGGCGUCCAGGAUGUACGGCCGGGCAGCAGCGAGAGCGCGCUGGCGCUGGCCGUGCUCGGGACGCCGGUGACUGUCCAAAUCGACGGGGAGCGGCCCCGUGCUGCAGAACUACAAGUCCGGCGUUUACAAGGGGCCGUGCACCACCAGCCAGAACCACGUGGUGGCGGUGGUCGGCUACGGGGUCACUGGCGCCGGAGAGUACUGGAUCGCCAAGAACUCGUGGGGGCAGACGUGGGGUCAGAAGGGCUUCUUCUUCGUGCGCAGAGGAGCCGACGGGCCCCGCGGGCUGUGUGGCAUCGCCAUGUACGGUGCCUACCCCGUCAUGUAGUUAGUACUAUAUCAUAUAGUCUGCGCGCUGGGUAUACUACAUAUGACGCGCAGCGUAAUGUGCAAUUAAAAUAA
Molecule: ribosomal RNA, 1047 nt
Filed under: Triticum aestivum (bread wheat)
Lineage: Eukaryota; Viridiplantae; Streptophyta; Magnoliopsida; Poales; Poaceae
Description: partial small subunit ribosomal RNA
Source: RNAcentral